GACCUUGAGGAAAGAGACCUAAGCAAGUCACUUUAAGACAGCAACUGAACUGCUCAACCCUGCCUGCCUCUUGAGGCUUCUUUGAGGACUGAUGCAAAGAGAAGGAGCCUCCAGUGUGUGCACCAGCACGAGUCUACUGAGUCCCAUCGGCGAAUCUCACAGCUUUCCUAACCACAGUCCACUGCACUCUUACCGCCGUUUCUGGUCUGCCUCUUCUCCCCACACUGGCGUCUGAGUCACCUGAGUGGUCACGAGCCAGGUUCAAGACCAGCUUGGGCACUCUGGGACUUGGGCAAAUGAUUGUCUCUCUACCCCUGUUUCAUCUGUUAAAGGAGAACCUACCACCUCAGAGGGCUGUUGUGAGGAAAAUAACAUUUUUCAAGUGUCUGGCAUGCAUUGUUAAUAAAAAUCAAUGUUUCUAGUCUCAGCUUCUUCACUGGCUCUUGGUAACUGUUUUUUAAGUAUGUGGAUCUGACCCACAGUGCCUUUAAUAUAAAAUCUAAACACUCCCUCAAAGAGGAAGUCCAACCAGCCCUCCCAGGUCUGGGCCCAUGGACGCCUUCUUGAACUCACUUUCCCACGUGCUCUGCUCUCACUGUGCUGUCCAUCAAGCACAUACAACUACAGGCUGAUUUAGCCUCAAAGCAGGAAUGACGGACUCUCUGAAGCCAUUUCUGACCACUCCUUUCCUUCUACUGUUAUGCCCUAAACAAACAUCUGGCAUAACACCUGUUAAUACUUCAUUCUUCUGAGAAUCAGCUUCCAGAGGGCAAAGGGGCCACAUCCUAUUUAUCUCACAGCCCCAGAGGCUCAAGAGCUGGCGUGAUAAACAUUAGGUAUUUAGUGGACAACAGCUUGAAGAGGAAUGUGC
Molecule: long non-coding RNA, 871 nt
Organism: Condylura cristata (star-nosed mole)
Lineage: Eukaryota; Metazoa; Chordata; Mammalia; Eulipotyphla; Talpidae
Exons: 3
Source: RefSeq, a predicted model, not a curated record